CCUACGGGAGGCUGCAGUGAGGAAUAUUGGUCAAUGGACGCGAGUCUGAACCAGCCAUGCCGCGUGCAGGAUGACGGCCCUAUGGGUUGUAAACUGCUUUUAUAAGAGGGUAAACUCAGGUACGUGUACCUGGUUGUAUGUAUUGUACGAAUAAGGAUCGGCUAACUCCGUGCCAGCAGCCGCGGUAAUACGGAGGAUCCGAGCGUUAUCCGGAUUUAUUGGGUUUAAAGGGUGCGUAGGCGGUUUGUUAAGUUAGUUGUGAAAUGUUGCGGCUCAACCGCGAAAUUGCAUUUGAUACUGGUAGACUUGAGAAUAGUUGAGGUAGGCGGAAUUUGUGGUGUAGCGGUGAAAUGCUUAGAGAUCAUGCAGAACUCCGAUUGCGAAGGCAGCCUACCAAACUACAACUGACAUUGAGGCUCGAAAGUGUGGGUAGCAAACAGGAUUAGAUACCCGGGUAGUC
RNAcentral lists this ribosomal RNA (460 nucleotides) under uncultured bacterium. RNAcentral's name for it is "partial 16S ribosomal RNA". It matches the Rfam family "Bacterial small subunit ribosomal RNA", at positions 338 to 795 of the family's 1533-position model. The record is from RNAcentral.